This 501-nucleotide ribosomal RNA is filed under the name Triticum aestivum (bread wheat). Its description in RNAcentral is "partial small subunit ribosomal RNA". Lineage: Eukaryota; Viridiplantae; Streptophyta; Magnoliopsida; Poales; Poaceae. The record is from RNAcentral.
AUGGCAAUAGUUCAAUACACAUUUGACAAGAUGAAUGCGUACUUUAAGUACUCGAUGGAAACCGAUGCACAGAUAGCGGGUGAGAACCCACGGAAGUACAAGUACAAUUUCCCACCCAAAGUUGAUGAAUGGUUGGUAUUUCAAUCACGGAAGGCGAACUCAGAAGAAGCUAUAUUAUAUGACAACGAAGAGUGGAAGUACGAAGUGAAAGAGCCAGGAGGAACCACAAACGAUGGCCGGCAACAUGGAGGUCGGGCUUUCAAGGUGUCGUUAACACAAUGUGAUUGCACUUGCGGGAGGCCAUUGUUGCUUCAUCUCCCAUGCUCACACUUGUAUACCGCCGGUCGCGUUAGGAAUGUGGACAUCAAUCACCCACGCACCGUGAGGGAGUCGGAGUUCUCAAUCAUGACUGUCAAGAAAACAUGGGCUCGCCGCUUUCACCUGUACUUUGACCAAUCACAAUGGCCGGAGUAUCAUGGAGUUCAACUAUGGCCGGAUCCG